RNAcentral lists this transfer RNA (71 nucleotides) under Mesocricetus auratus (golden hamster). It matches the Rfam family "tRNA". Rfam says of the family: Transfer RNA (tRNA) molecules are approximately 80 nucleotides in length. Their secondary structure includes four short double-helical elements and three loops (D, anti-codon, and T loops). Lineage: Eukaryota; Metazoa; Chordata; Mammalia; Rodentia; Cricetidae. The record is from Rfam by way of RNAcentral.
GGGAAGAUGGCUCAGUGGUUAAGAGCACUGGCUGCUCUUCCAGAGGACCUGGGUUCAAUUCCCAGCACCCA